GAGGAAGGUGUGUGAGGCUGAGGAAGGUGUGUGAGCCCGGGGAAGGUGUGUGAGGCUGAGUAAGGUGUGUGAGGCUGGGAAGGUGUGUGAGGCUGAGGAAGGUGUGUGAGGCUGGGAAGGUGUGUGAGGCUGGGAAGGUGUGUGAGCCCGAGGAAGGUGUGUGAGGCUGGGGAAGGUGUGUGAGGCUGGGAAGGUGUGUGAGCCCGGGGAAGGUGUGUGAGGCUGGGAAGGUGUGUGAGGAAGGUGUGUGCCGGGUGCUGCCCCCGGCACGGAUGCGGUGGCACCGUGCGCGUCCCCUCCCCAGCUCUGCCUACAAAAGGAUCGCGGCACCCCCGGCACCGCGCACCCCACCCGGCCUCGCCCCUGCUCCCAUGCCCGGACAGACGGCAUGAAGAAAUCCUCGUAUUCAGGAAUCACCCGGACCUCCAGCGGGAGACUUCGGAGGCUCAGUGACCAGACAAGUCCAAUGCACAGACCACUGAACACCCAUUUGAACAGACCUUUGAGAAGAAAACUGAGAAUAAUGUCUCAGAAAACGAAGAAAAAUGGGAAAUCCCAGCCCUGGAACAUGUGGAAACACACCUCUGAAGGGAACAAACCCUGAUGUUGACAUCACCAGCACGGGGUACCCCUCUCUCAAUCACAGGCACCCCAUUAUUUGCCUUUUAGUGCUUUGUGAGCAUUGCUUUGGAGGCACAGACUGCACCUUUAAAGUGAAUCCAUUAAAAUUUUCAUGAGCACUUCAGGUCUGACUGAGAGCAGCUACCUGGAGGUUUUGUGCAUUUCAAGUUCAGCUGCAUUAACCAUAGUUUGGGCUCUCUUCCCUGAGUGCCUCCUGGUGAUCUGCCCUGCAAGGAAUGGUGCCUUUAUCCUUCCCAGCACCUGGAUCAUGAUGGGUUAAAGUCUGGAGGCUAAAAUGCAUGCUGCCCCCAUCCCUUCUUCCUUUCCAUUCACCUUCUUCCUUUCUCCACACUUCCCUGGGGUUUUUCCCUUCCUCUCCAGCCUCAGGAGCUUGGCCAUGAGGCUGCUUGGUGGAGGCAGUGCAGUGGGGUUUGUGCUCCGUGGGGCUGUGCACUCCCCCGUGUCCUUGCUUUGUGUUCAGCACCUCUGAGGUCUCGGGCAGGAAAUGUGGUUUGAGCCUGGCAAUGGGAAAAUAUUGCUUAUUGUCCCCUCCAGAGCCUUGGGCUGUGGCAGCAGGAGCACACAGAGCUCCGAGUGAACAGGAUUUGGGAAGGAAUCUAAACUCCUCUGCCCAGGGAAUAACAUGCUGAGGGGGAGAAGACAUUGGAGAGGAACUUCCCGAAGGACUGGGCUGUCU
This 1318-nucleotide long non-coding RNA is filed under the name Cyanistes caeruleus (blue tit). RNAcentral describes it as "lncRNA (ENSCCEG00000011060.1)". The record is from RNAcentral. Lineage: Eukaryota; Metazoa; Chordata; Aves; Passeriformes; Paridae.